RNAcentral lists this ribosomal RNA (468 nucleotides) under uncultured bacterium. RNAcentral's name for it is "partial 16S ribosomal RNA". It matches the Rfam family "Bacterial small subunit ribosomal RNA", at positions 28 to 507 of the family's 1533-position model. The record is from RNAcentral.
GACGAACGCUGGCGGCGUGCUUAACACAUGCAAGUCGAACGGAAAGGCCCUGCUUUUGUGGGGUGCUCGAGUGGCGAACGGGUGAGUAACACGUGAGUAACCUGCCCUUGACUUUGGGAUAACUUCAGGAAACUGGGGCUAAUACCGGAUAGGAGCUCCUGCUGCAUGGUGGGGGUUGGAAAGUUUCGGCGGUUGGGGAUGGACUCGCGGCUUAUCAGCUUGUUGGUGGGGUAGUGGCUUACCAAGGCUUUGACGGGUAGCCGGCCUGAGAGGGUGACCGGCCACAUUGGGACUGAGAUACGGACCAGACUCCUACGGGAGGCAGCAGGGGGGAAUAUUGCACAAUGGGCGGAAGCCUGAGGCAGCAACGCCGCGUGCGGGAUGACGGCCUUCGGGUUGUAAACCGCUUUCGCAUGUGACGAAGCGGGAGUGACGGUAAUGGGUAAAGAAGCACCGGCUAACUACGUG